This 115-nucleotide transfer RNA is filed under the name Cephalotrichum gorgonifer. Its description in RNAcentral is "transfer RNA-Pro(AGG)". It matches the Rfam family "tRNA". Rfam says of the family: Transfer RNA (tRNA) molecules are approximately 80 nucleotides in length. Their secondary structure includes four short double-helical elements and three loops (D, anti-codon, and T loops). Further hydrogen bonds mediate the characteristic L-shaped molecular structure. tRNAs have two regions of fundamental functional importance: the anti-codon, which is responsible for specific mRNA codon recognition, and the 3' end, to which the tRNAs corresponding amino acid is attached (by aminoacyl-tRNA synthetases). tRNAs cope with the degeneracy of the genetic code in two manners: having more than one tRNA (with a specific anti-codon) for a particular amino acid; and 'wobble' base-pairing, i.e. permitting non-standard base-pairing at the 3rd anti-codon position. Lineage: Eukaryota; Fungi; Ascomycota; Sordariomycetes; Microascales; Microascaceae. The record is from RNAcentral.
GGGCCGAUGGUCUAGCGGUAUGAUUCUCGCUUAGGGUAACACCCUUAGCAUGACAUGUGAGCAAUCACAUGUCGCAAAUUGCGAGAGGUCCCGGGUUCAAUUCCCGGUUGGCCCC